AUUGCCCUAGUAACGGCGAGUGAAGCGGCAACAGCUCAAAUUUGAAAUCUGGCUCCUUUGGGGGUCCGAGUUGUAAUUUGUAGAGGGUGCUUUGGUAUUAGCUGUGGUCUAAGACCCUUGGAACAGGGUGUCACAGAGGGUGAGAAUCCCGUAUGUGGCCAGCAGCUUUUGCCUUGUAAAGCCCCUUCGACGAGUCGAGUUGUUUAGGAAUGCAGCUCUAAAUGGGAGGUAAAUUUCUUCUAAAGCUAAAUACUGGCCAGAGACCGAUAGCGCACAAGUAGAGUGAUCGAAAGAUGAAAAGCACUUUGGAAAGAGAGUCAAAAAGCACGUGAAAUUGUUGAAAGGGAAGCGCUUGCAGCCAGACUUGCCCGUAGUUGUUCAUCUAGGCUUUUGCCUGGUGCACUCUUCUGCGGGCAGGCCAGCAUCAGUCCAGGCGGUCGGAUAAAGGCCUUGGGAAUGUGGCUCCUUUUGGGGAGUGUUAUAGCCCAGGGUGCCAUGCGGCCAGCCUGAACUGAGGUCCGCGCUUCUGCUAGGAUGCUGGCGUAAUGGCUGUAAGCGGCCCGUCUUGAAACACGGACCAAGGAGUCUAACAUCUAUGCGAGUGUUUGGGUGUCAAGCCCGAGCGCGCAAUGAAAGUGAACGGAGGUGGGAACCCCUUGGGUGCACCAUCGACCGAUCCUGAUGUCUUCGGAUGGAUUUGAGUAAGAGCAUAGCUGUUGGGACCCGAAAGAUGGUGAACUAUGCCUGAAUAGGGUGAAGCCAGAGGAAACUCUGGUGGAGGCUCGCAGCGGUUCUGACGUGCAAAUCGAUCGUCAAAUUUGGGCAUAGGGGCGAAAGA
This 838-nucleotide ribosomal RNA is filed under the name Amniculicola immersa. RNAcentral describes it as "eukaryotic LSU rRNA". It matches the Rfam family "Eukaryotic large subunit ribosomal RNA", at positions 74 to 930 of the family's 3401-position model. The record is from RNAcentral. Lineage: Eukaryota; Fungi; Ascomycota; Dothideomycetes; Pleosporales; Amniculicolaceae.